CCCUGCGUAGCUCAGUUGGCAGAGCAUUGGGCUAGUAUUCCAAAGGUCGUAGGUUCGAUUCCCACCGUGGCCG
Non-coding RNA from Paramuricea clavata, 73 nucleotides. NCBI's taxonomy places the organism in Eukaryota, Metazoa, Cnidaria, Anthozoa, Malacalcyonacea, Plexauridae. The record is from the annotation of a GenBank genome assembly.